GACACAGAGAACAGACCUAAAAAGAUCACAGGGUCACAUCUUCAUCACAGCAGCAUCAAAGACGAAGGAUAAAUGGGAAUAUUCAGAGAGGAAGAGCCGAACAGACACACUUAGAUGGCGGUCUUUCUCCACCAGGUAAAGGGGAUUUUUGGCCCAAUCAAGACCAAGUGGACCAUACCACCCAUGACAGCCCAAACUGGAAGGGGGUCUUUUUGUGUCUGAGUUCCAGAGAGCCACAAUGGAGGGGUAAACGAGCAGCAUGUAUCUCCAAAGCAGCAGGUUGCAGACCACCUGCAGCAAACAACCAGAAGACCUAAGGCAGCACUUGGAAUGGUCUCCCCUGCAGUGCCUUCUUACACCUGAGGUUCACAUCUCUCUUGUGCAUUUUUCUUUUAUUAUGUAGCUUUGGGGUUAUUUGUACUUUAUUUUUAUCUGUGGAUACCUAGACACUGUACACUCAUUGAGUGCGCAUUAUAUCCUCUGCAUACCAAAUAUAGAAUUGGUCCAACUUUAGGUUUUCUCUUCUUGCUUACAGUUUUUGUAGGCUUGUUUACAAAAUGCUUAGUUUGUAAAAAUAUAACAGAAAACACAGACAUUUGGUUUUUCAAAAGACAAUUUUUUGACAAUAUUUGUGUUUAAAGGUUACUUUACCCUCUUGCCAUCAUGUUUCUAAACUCCAGCAUACAUUCAAGAUUAAAAAAUAUCUGUUCAUCCACUAAUGUCUUCCUCUGGUUUUUGCCUUGCACAAGCCUUUUUUUAAUACAAAAUCUCUAAGCACAGCUGUAUUGUUUUUUGCCUCAAUGACCAGUUUAGACCUGCCUCUGCCCUUCUAAAACUUGUGACGUUUGUCUUUUUAUGGCCGAAGCCACGUAGUUUCAUUUGGUGGUGCAUCUUGGAUGCCGACCAUAAAUGACAAACAAAGAAUCUGAUUUUGAAAGUUAUUUCAGGAUCAUGGUGCACCUCGUCUUACAUCAACUUUUCUUAUGCAAAUGAAUGUUUUCCAAAGUGCUUCAGAACUUCAGUGUCAUGUGCAAUAAAGGCUUCAAACGGCAGCAAAUGUAGUUAGCAAUUUACUAAAUGACAAAAAACUACUAAAUUGAAAGUCCCCCCCCC
Oryzias latipes (Japanese medaka) is the source of this 1113-nucleotide non-coding RNA. Lineage: Eukaryota; Metazoa; Chordata; Actinopteri; Beloniformes; Adrianichthyidae. The record is from RefSeq and is a predicted model, not a curated record.